This 491-nucleotide ribosomal RNA is filed under the name uncultured Pseudonocardia sp. RNAcentral's name for it is "bacterial SSU rRNA". It matches the Rfam family "Bacterial small subunit ribosomal RNA", at positions 28 to 526 of the family's 1533-position model. Lineage: Bacteria; Bacillati; Actinomycetota; Actinomycetes; Pseudonocardiales; Pseudonocardiaceae. The record is from RNAcentral.
GACGAACGCUGGCGGCGUGCUUAACACAUGCAAGUCGAGCGGUAAGGCCUCUUCGGGGGUACACGAGCGGCGAACGGGUGAGUAACACGUGGGUGACCUGCCCUCAGCUUUGGGAUAAGCCUGGGAAACUGGGUCUAAUACCGGAUGGUCACGGUCUGCUGCAUGGUGGGUUGUGGAAAGUUUUUUCGGCUGGGGAUGGGCCCGCGGCCUAUCAGCUUGUUGGUGGGGUGAUGGCCUACCAAGGCGACGACGGGUAGCCGGCCUGAGAGGGCGACCGGUCACACUGGGACUGAGACACGGCCCAGACUCCUACGGGAGGCAGCAGUGGGGAAUAUUGCGCAAUGGGCGGAAGCCUGACGCAGCGACGCCGCGUGGGGGAUGACGGCCUUCGGGUUGUAAACCUCUUUCGGCCUUGACGAAGCCUCCUUUGGGGGUGACGGUAGGGGUAGAAGAAGCACCGGCCAACUACGUGCCAGCCGCCGCCGUAAAAC